GAUAAACGCUGGCGGCGUGCAUAACACAUGCAAGUCGAACGAUGAAACUUAGAUGAUUUCUUCGGAAUGAACUUAAGCGGAUUAGUGGCGAACGGGUGAGUAACACGUGAGUAACCUGCCUUACACAAGGGGAUAGCCUUUGGAAACGAAGAAUAAUACCCUAUAACGUCAAUUUAUCGCAUGAUAGAAUGACCAAAGAUUUAUCGGUGUAAGAUGGACUUGCGUCUGAUUAGCUAGUUGGUGAGAUAAAGGCCCACCAAGGCAACGAUCAGUAGCCGGCUUGAGAGAGUGUACGGCCACAUUGGGACUGAGACACGGCCCAAACUCCUACGGGAGGCAGCAGUGGGGAAUUUUGCACAAUGGGGGAAACCCUGAUGCAGCGACGCCGCGUGAUUUAGAAGGCCUUCGGGUUGUAAAAAUCUUUUUUAUGGGAUGAAAAUGACAGUACCAUAAGAAUAAGGUCCGGCUAAAUACGUGCCAGCAGCCGCGGUAAUACGUAUGGACCGAGCGUUGUCCGGAAUCAUUGGGCGUAAAGGGUACGUAGGCGGCCCAGUAAGUUAGAAGUGAAAUAAUAUAGCUCAACUAUAUAAAGCUUUUAAAACUGCUAGGCUUGAGAGAUGGAAGGGAAAGUGGAAUUCCUAGUGUAGCGGUGAAAUGCGCAGAUAUUAGGAAGAAUACCGGUGGCGAAGGCGACUUUCUGGUCAUCAUCUGACGCUGAGGUACGAAAGCGUGGGUAGCAAACAGG
Molecule: ribosomal RNA, 745 nt
Filed under: uncultured Anaerococcus sp.
Lineage: Bacteria; Bacillati; Bacillota; Tissierellia; Tissierellales; Peptoniphilaceae
Description: bacterial SSU rRNA
Rfam family: Bacterial small subunit ribosomal RNA
Source: RNAcentral